This 416-nucleotide unclassified non-coding RNA is filed under the name Hevea brasiliensis (rubber tree). The record is from RNAcentral. Lineage: Eukaryota; Viridiplantae; Streptophyta; Magnoliopsida; Malpighiales; Euphorbiaceae.
GGAAGCAGUUCCAGUCCCAGCUGCUGAGGUGGCGUAGUGACAGGUGAGAGCAAUAACAACAGAAGCAAUAGUAAUUGCCUACAGUAGUAUAUUCGGUUGUUUGCGGUGGAAUAGAUUCAAGCGUCCGGGCCAGUAGAUCCAGAGCAAAUAGGCGUUGACUUAGUUGCUUUUGCAGUUGAUUCUAAUCCCGAUGUUGAUCCGACGCAACUUACCGGUGAUAGUCGCAGCACCGGGAGCUUUCAAGGGAGGCAGACAUAUAUAGAUAGUAGCUGAUAGUGGCAUACCUUCCGGAUCGAGGGUCCCACCCGGUAAACACCAUAAAGGCAAAAUAUCAGCGGGGGGAGGAGGCCCUUCUCACUCAAGCUCAAGCAUUUACUUUUCUAGUUAGAGACCAACGUCUUGGGGCUAACGUGGGA